Long non-coding RNA from Phasianus colchicus (ring-necked pheasant), 1397 nucleotides. RefSeq lists it as uncharacterized. The record is from RefSeq and is a predicted model, not a curated record. NCBI's taxonomy places the organism in Eukaryota, Metazoa, Chordata, Aves, Galliformes, Phasianidae.
GGGAGAAAUUCCACAGAAUAAAAAUCAGUGCUGCUGUCUAAUUUCAGAUGAAGCUCUCAUUAAAAUACUCUCAUAGUUCCAUGGAUGUGUAACUUCAGGGGAUGUAAGAAGCAUUUCCCAUUGUCUCUUCUCCACUUGUUUUUCUGAAGAGGCAUCAUCACCAUGCCAAAGAUAGACAGCUCAAACUGCUGUCUAUCUAAUUACUGUGCCGUACCUGAAUAAUGUAGCUCCUGAUGAGCAGAUGACAGUCAUCCAGAGAUUUGAAUUUCAGUUCAUAAAAGCCACUUGAUAAAGUUAAAAUCACAGUUUUGCUGUUGGUGAACUCAUCUUUUUCUUGUUGUUUUUCCAAAUAAGCAUUUAAAAUGCAACAGCUAACAGUUGCGUCUCAUUAGUAAAGCAAUCCUUUGCAUCAUUAUUAAAUUAUUGUCUCUUUUUUUUUGCCAGAAUUAUAUUUUGACUGCUCAUGGAUUGGAAUUAAGAGGUAGUAUGUUUUGUUAAAUGGCUGGUAUAUACUUUAAGGCACUCAAGCCCUUCAGAAUUCCAAGUACAAAAACUUUCCCAAUUUUUCCAACAAUAUCAGUUUGAUAACAUCUACUAGUGAAUAUCUACCAACGUUAUGCUCUGCUAGAGUUGGCGUAGGUUUAUCACGAGAAAAAGUGAGUCUUGGUUUCCAGAAGAGCUAUCAGCUGACACACUGUUCUGGGUCUGUUCUCUGUUCUGGGGAAAGUAAUGUAAGAAAACGUUGGUUUGCUCUUUCUUUUCAGUGGGAAAAUAAUGUCAGCUGCUAAUAUCUAAGUUUGAUAAAGUAAGGCUUAAGGUGACCUCUAAUUCACAUAUAUGAUCAUUAAUAACAGUAUGAAAACAGCAACAAUUGUUUGUGGUAACUAUGAUUGCAGUGCAGCUUUAAGACAUGGAGUUUUCAACUCCACACCUUUGCUUCAUAUGCUCUUCCAUGUCGGGUGCCGUUUUUCAGACAGCUCCUCUGCUGCCAUCUGUCACAUGGCAACAAAGUGGAAUGGAAUGGAAUACUGGUGGGAAGGCUCAAGCUCUGUUGCCAUACUGUCAGCAUCCUCCCCUGAGGUUGUGGGCCAAUAUAAUAAAAUGAGUCUUUAAUCAUCUGUGCAUUGCAAUCCAUCCAACGUGAUACUGGAGCUUCUUUUUUUUCAGCCGAGAUUGCUUCCAUCCAAGAUGCUGGGAGACUACCACUAAAUAGGCAUUUCAGCAGUGACCUUAAAGUACAGCUAAUUAUCAACAGCGGUGAAUGGAAUCAAUUCUCAAUGUACAGCAAUGGAAGAGUGAUCAAAGCUCAGGAAACAGCGGUGGAUCUUCUCCAACCUGGAAAUCAAAGUACACAGUUUUGUGUGUGAAUGUAGAGAAUUCAUUGCUGAAGCAGAAUU